RNAcentral lists this ribosomal RNA (1476 nucleotides) under uncultured organism. RNAcentral's name for it is "SSU rRNA". It matches the Rfam family "Bacterial small subunit ribosomal RNA". The record is from RNAcentral.
CGCUGGCGGCGUGCCUAAUACAUGCAAGUCGAACGAGUUCUGAUUAUUGAAAGGUGCUUGCAUCUUGAUUUAAUUUUGAACGAGUGGCGGACGGGUGAGUAACACGUGGGUAACCUGCCCUUAAGUGGGGGAUAACAUUUGGAAACAGAUGCUAAUACCGCAUAAAUCCAAGAACCGCAUGGUUCUUGGCUGAAAGAUGGCGUAAGCUAUCGCUUUUGGAUGGACCCGCGGCGUAUUAGCUAGUUGGUGAGGUAACGGCUCACCAAGGCAAUGAUACGUAGCCGAACUGAGAGGUUGAUCGGCCACAUUGGGACUGAGACACGGCCCAAACUCCUACGGGAGGCAGCAGUAGGGAAUCUUCCACAAUGGACGCAAGUCUGAUGGAGCAACGCCGCGUGAGUGAAGAAGGCUUUCGGGUCGUAAAACUCUGUUGUUGGAGAAGAAUGGUCGGCAGAGUAACUGUUGUCGGCGUGACGGUAUCCAACCAGAAAGCCACGGCUAACUACGUGCCAGCAGCCGCGGUAAUACGUAGGUGGCAAGCGUUAUCCGGAUUUAUUGGGCGUAAAGCGAGCGCAGGCGGUUUUUUAAGUCUGAUGUGAAAGCCCUCGGCUUAACCGAGGAAGUGCAUCGGAAACUGGGAAACUUGAGUGCAGAAGAGGACAGUGGAACUCCAUGUGUAGCGGUGAAAUGCGUAGAUAUAUGGAAGAACACCAGUGGCGAAGGCGGCUGUCUGGUCUGUAACUGACGCUGAGGCUCGAAAGCAUGGGUAGCGAACAGGAUUAGAUACCCUGGUAGUCCAUGCCGUAAACGAUGAAUGCUAGGUGUUGGAGGGUUUCCGCCCUUCAGUGCCGCAGCUAACGCAUUAAGCAUUCCGCCUGGGGAGUACGACCGCAAGGUUGAAACUCAAAGGAAUUGACGGGGGCCCGCACAAGCGGUGGAGCAUGUGGUUUAAUUCGAAGCAACGCGAAGAACCUUACCAGGUCUUGACAUCUUUUGAUCACCUGAGAGAUCAGGUUUCCCCUUCGGGGGCAAAAUGACAGGUGGUGCAUGGUUGUCGUCAGCUCGUGUCGUGAGAUGUUGGGUUAAGUCCCGCAACGAGCGCAACCCUUAUGACUAGUUGCCAGCAUUUAGUUGGGCACUCUAGUAAGACUGCCGGUGACAAACCGGAGGAAGGUGGAGAUGACGUCAAAUCAUCAUGCCCCUUAUGACCUGGGCUACACACGUGCUACAAUGGAUGGUACAACGAGUUGCGAGACCGCGAGGUCAAGCUAAUCUCUUAAAGCCAUUCUCAGUUCGGACUGUAGGCUGCAACUCGCCUACACGAAGUCGGAAUCGCUAGUAAUCGCGGAUCAGCACGCCGCGGUGAAUACGUUCCCGGGCCUUGUACACACCGCCCGUCACACCAUGAGAGUUUGUAACACCCGAAGCCGGUGGCGUAACCCUUUAAGGGAGCGAGCCGUCUAAGGUGGGACAAAU